UUCCCAGGUUGCCUCUGCUUGUGCCUGGUAGUACUGUGCUGCUCCAUCCAGCCCUGCAGGCUGACUUCCUGGCUUGGCUUAGGACCUGAUUCAUCACCAUGAGUUUGCUUGAUCUGGCCUGCCUUGCUUAGGUACUGUGGGAGGGGACCUGGCUGCAAGGGGCAUGGGCAGCUGGCAGAAGGGAUGCAGGCAGGGCAAUGGCCUUGGCAGGCUGUUCUUCCCAAAAGGCCAGGAGCCAGCCUCUGCUCUCAGACACAUAUGAUUUCCAGUGGGAUCAACAGUGGAAACUGAAGACAAUGCCCUCAUUGGGAUAACUGCGGGUCAGAUUCCCUUAGUUCAAACCCCAGCAGAGAUCUGGGGACUCCCACUAUGUACACAAGAGGAAGCUGAAGCAGGUCUCCUGGUGA
Long non-coding RNA from Oxyura jamaicensis (ruddy duck), 407 nucleotides. RefSeq lists it as uncharacterized. The transcript is spliced from 3 exons. The record is from RefSeq and is a predicted model, not a curated record. NCBI's taxonomy places the organism in Eukaryota, Metazoa, Chordata, Aves, Anseriformes, Anatidae.